CCCAGCGCGCGAGGUGGAAGCAAGCACCGCUGGUGGCGGAGCUUGCAGCCAAGAAAUUCAGAGGGCAUGAUAGUCCUGUUGGUUCAUUGGCUAGUCCGGCAGGAAAAUUCGAGCUCGCGCACACCCCUUUCGAGAGCGCGCAGAAUCUGGGAAGCUCUUUGGGCUUGGGGGCCGUGAAACUGCGCUCUCUUGGGGUUUCUUAGGGCAAGGUGGGUUGGAAGUUUCUUAAGACCAUGGGUAGCCAGGUUCCUCUCGGUGUAAGGACGAGAUGCUCCUGAUUCCUUCAAUUGAGGGAUGGAUGAAGUGGAUGGGCUCCCCUUAUUUGGGGAAAGCAAGGGAAUGGGUCUCUUUCAGCUUGGAGCAAGGAGUGAAAAUAGAUUACACUCAAUUCGAAGGAAAAGGUGGGAUCAUUUACCUUUAAUUGGAGGAAGAAGAAGGACGUGCCCCUCACUCUGGGAAAAGGAUGGGAUGACAAGUUCUGCGGGGAGGUGAACUUAUUACACUCAAUUUGAGGGAAGAACUGGGUGGGUUGCCCUUCAGCUGCAAAGAAAAGUGGAAUCGGCCCUUUUCUAUUUGGGGAGAGAUAAGCUGAAAGGCCCUUCAGAUUUGGGGGAAAAGGUGGGUAGGUCCCUCUUAGUUUGAAGGGAAUCGAUAGGGUGCGGUUUCCACAGUUUAGGGAAGAUCCCCUAAAAGAUAACGUUUGCUUCAUUGAGUCUCAUGGAAAAAGUGAGACGAGUUCACUGUAUUCUAAAGGAAAGGGAGGCCGAGUGCCCCUCGGUUUGGUAAAUGAAGAGAAACAACCUCUUUCUUAGCUUGGAAUGGGAUGGGCCCAAUCUGGGCCUUGGGGUUUCUGGGGACGGCGGGGACAGUUGUCCCUCUCGGCUUUCUAUUAGAGCCCAGUGCGCGUGCGCAGCUCUGGUGCGGGCGGGGGCGCGAAGGGUCUCAAGCUUCUGAGGGCUGCGCGGAAGUCGGUGGCGCACUGCCCCCUGCAGUCUGCACGGGGCAUGCCGGGGCCCGCGGCCUCAUUACCCAGGGUCGGCUGCUUACAGCCGGCGGGCACUCCAGUGGCAGUGCCGCAUUCCUCCCGCCUGGACCCCGGUCCCUGGCAGACCCCGUCACCCUCGCCUCCGGCCAGUUCUACGCAACGGUGUCCCUAGAGGACUGUGGCCGCUCACGGCUCUGAAUCCGGGUCGGGGGAGGUUUAGAGAAGGUUUGGGGGAGCGGACUCGAUGGAAUAGGUUGCAGGACUUAGGGGAAGGCUGCGCCGGGGAAUUUCCAGAGCCGAGACAGAUUUAGAGCGGAGGAGCAAGGGUCCAGACUGCCGACGCUCAGGGCAGGGGCUCCGAGUCCGGACCUGGCUUGGGGGAAUCGGAACUAGGAUUGGGGGCAGCGGGCCCCACGUGCUCGUGACGCGGGGGCGGUCGGUAGGCGGUGGCGGCGACGCGAGGCCGGCGGCCGUGGGGCGCCGGGAGGGGUGCUAGGUUGGCGGCAGGAUGUUGCGCGUCGCACUGCCGCUGCUCGGGCUGCCCCUGGCGGGGGCGGGAACAACCGAAGAGCCCACCCUGGAGCUGGGGUCGCCGGGUGAGCCUCCCCCGGGAUUGGCGCUCUUCCGCUGGCAGUGGCAUGAGGUGGAGGCGCCCUACCUGGUAGCCCUGUGGAUCCUGGUGGCCAGCCUGGCUAAGAUCGUGUUUCACCUGUCUCGGAAGGUGACAUCUCUGGUCCCUGAGAGCUGCCUGCUGAUUUUGCUGGGACUGGUGCUUGGGGGCAUUGUCUUGGCUGUGGCCAAGAAAGCUGAGUAUCAGCUGGAGCCAGGCACCUUCUUCCUCUUCCUGUUGCCCCCUAUUGUGCUGGACUCAGGCUAUUUCAUGCCCAGCAGGCUGUUCUUUGACAACUUGGGUGCCAUCCUUACCUAUGCCGUAGUGGGCACACUCUGGAAUGCCUUCACAACAGGUGCUGCCCUCUGGGGCCUGCAGCAGGCUGGACUUGUGGCCCCUAGAGUGCAGGCUGGCUUGCUGGACUUCCUGCUGUUCGGGAGCCUCAUCUCAGCAGUGGACCCUGUGGCUGUGCUGGCUGUGUUUGAGGAGGUGCACGUCAACGAGACCCUCUUUAUCAUUGUCUUUGGCGAGUCCCUGCUCAAUGAUGCAGUCACCGUGGUGCUGUACAAGGUCUGCAACUCCUUUGUGGAGAUGGGCUCUGCCAACGUGCAGGCCACUGACUACCUGAAGGGAGUCGCCUCCUUGUUUGUGGUCAGUCUGGGCGGGGCAGCUGUGGGCUUAGUCUUUGCCUUCCUCCUGGCCCUGACCACACGCUUCACCAAGCGGGUCCGCAUCAUCGAGCCACUGCUGGUCUUCCUCCUCGCCUACGCAGCCUACCUCACUGCUGAAAUGGCCUCACUCUCCGCCAUUCUUGCGGUGACUAUGUGUGGCCUGGGCUGUAAGAAGUACGUGGAGGCCAACAUCUCCCAUAAGUCCCGCACAGCUGUCAAGUACACAAUGAAGACUCUAGCCAGCUGCGCCGAGACCGUCAUCUUCAUGCUGCUUGGCAUCUCGGCUGUGGACUCUUCCAAGUGGGCCUGGGACUCUGGGCUGGUGCUGGGCACCCUCUUCUUCAUCCUGUUCUUCCGAGCCCUCGGCGUAGUCCUGCAGACGUGGGUGCUGAAUCAGUUCCGGCUGGUCCCUCUGGACAAGAUCGAUCAGGUGGUGAUGUCCUACGGGGGCCUGCGAGGGGCUGUGGCCUUCGCUCUCGUCAUUCUCCUGGACAGGACUAAGGUCCCUGCCAAAGACUACUUUGUGGCCACCACUAUUGUGGUGGUCUUCUUCACAGUCAUUGUGCAGGGCCUGACCAUCAAGCCACUGGUCAAGUGGCUAAAGGUGAAGAGGAGUGAGCAUCAUAAACCUACCCUGAAUCAGGAGCUGCAUGAGCACACUUUUGACCACAUUCUGGCUGCAGUGGAGGACGUUGUGGGGCACCAUGGCUAUCACUACUGGAGGGACAGGUGGGAGCAGUUUGACAAGAAGUACCUGAGUCAGCUGUUGAUGCGGCGGUCAGCCUACCGCAUCCGGGACCAGAUCUGGGAUGUGUAUUACAGACUCAACAUCCGGGAUGCCAUCAGCUUCGUGGACCAGGGAGGUCACGUCUUGUCCUCUACUGGGCUCACUCUGCCCUCAAUGCCCAGCCGCAAUUCUGUGGCCGAGACUUCUGUCACCAACCUACUGAGGGAAAGUGGCAGUGGAGCAUGUCUGGAUCUGCAGGUGAUUGACACAGUGCGCAGCGGCCGGGACCGUGAGGAUGCUGUGAUGCACCACCUGCUCUGUGGAGGCCUCUACAAACCACGCCGCAGGCCCAUCAUUCCAUCGUUUGGAUCCCAUGUCUGCUACCAAACAUCUCCUCAGAUUCACAUCACAUGAAAAUAUGAUAAGCCUGUUAACUUUGUAUUCAUCCAAAUCAACAUAAAAAUGUUGAACAGGAUAGAGCUGAGGACAGAGCCCUGUGGCAUGCUACUAAAGACUUUCCUCCAGACUGACAUGGAUCAAGCAUUUUUUGGUACAAAGCAGCUGCAGCCGCCACUUCAUCUCUGAGGAUGCACAGGAGCGCCAGGACAAGGAGGUCUUCCAGCAGAACAUGAAGCGGCGGCUAGAGACCUUUAAGUCCACCAAGCACAGCAUCUGCUUCGCCAAAAGCAAGCCACGACCUCGCAAGGCUGGCCACAAGAAGAAGGAUGGCGUGGCUAACACUGAGGCUGCAAAUGGGAAAUCUCCUCGAGCCCUGGGUUUCCAGGACACAGGCAAGCAGGGAGUGGGGGUGGGACUGAGGAUGGAAUAAGGAGUGGAAGGGCAGGGGCCUAUCUGCCAGAAUCCUGAAGGACUUCCUCUGCCUGGCAUUCAACGCCAUGACGUGGGGCUCUUCCCCUCAGGGAUUAGCUGGGUACUCUUGAUUCAAAGCUGGACCUGUUCCAAGCAGUUAUUAUGCAUCCGUGACAGGAGGCAUCUGAUAGUUUAACCACAGGUUGUGUGCCCUGAGGAUUUGGGGAAGGUGUCCUAAAAGGGGAGCUUGGUCUGGAGACCUUGAAGGAUGGGUGGACACUGGAGUUGAGUGUCCUUGUCUCUAAAACCAAGAGUUUGGACAAGCUACAUACUGAUGGGCCUUCCAGCUCCCGAGAUUUUUACGCUUCCAGUUGAUGAUGGGAUCUGUGGCUGAGAGAAGAUGGGGGAGCUAGAAAGUGUGACUUCCCAAACUGGCUUCCUCUGAGGACCCAGCUUGUCCUGCUGCCUUCCUGGGCUCUGCAGCCCCACGUCCCUUCCUCUCAAGCCCCUAAACUCCAUAGGCCAGUGCUGUAAUAGCACAGGGCGAAGCAGGUGCCUCUGCCAACUGUGGGCUCUGCCUGGGUAGACAGGAGGUCCAGCCUAGGGUUGUGCAGUACCAAGAGGCAGCUGCUGGGCUGGCCACCCCCACUCCACUCUUAUCCCUGUCUAGCUGCUGUGAUCUUAACUGUGGAGUCUGAGGAGGAGGAGGAGAGCGACAGUUCAGAGACAGAGAAGGAGGACGACGAGGGGAUCAUCUUUGUGGCUCGGGCCACCAGCGAGGUUCUCCAAGAAGGCAAGGUCUCAGGGAGCCUUGAAGUAUGCCCAAGCCCACGCAUCAUCCCUCCCUCCCCAACCUGUGCAGAGAAGGAGCUACCCUGGAAGAGUGGGCAGGGGGACCUGGCAGUCUAUGUUUCCUCAGAAACGACGAAGAUUGUUCCUGUGGACAUGCAGACAGGCUGGAACCAGAGCAUCUCGUCCCUGGAGAGCUUGGCAUCCCCGCCCUGUACCCAGGCCCCAACUAUGAGCCGCCUGCCUCCCUAUCCACUGGCUGCUGAAGAGCCCCGGGCCCCUCUCGACCUGCCUCCCGACCCUCGGCCUAGCUUUGCCUUUCCCCCAAGCUUGGCCAAGGCUGGCCGCUCUCGCAGUGAAAGCAGCGCUGACAUCCCCCGGCAACAGGAGCUGCAGCCCCUCAUGGGACACGAGGACCGCACCCAUCUUAGCCCAGGCACUGCCAACUCCCACUGGUGCAUCCAGUUCAGCAGAAGUGGCCGGCUGUAGCCCAGGGACUCAGGGAGAAGCAGGGGGCCAGCACUCUCACGUGAAGUCUUCUCUGCACAACGGGCAGAGGAGCCCACUCAGCUUGACAUGGGGUUAGAGGGACCUGGAAUGAAGAGGCAACUGGGCUCCCUUGGGGAAGGUCAGAAGGGUCUCCUGAGCUGGUCCUCACAGGGACCCUUUCCACCACCCUCUCCACCACCCUCCCUGCUCUUAACUCUUGCUACCGUCCCUUUCGGUAAGGCCCGUGUACUAGCACAAGACCCAGUCCAAAGCGUGUAAGGGGCUAGGCCCAGAGAUGUGGGUAGCAGAUGCCCCUUUCCCAGUGGGUCCUCCUGGGGUCACUCCAGGCAGCUGUUCUUGCCCCCAAAGCAAGGGCAUCAUUCCUCAGCUGACAGUGGCCUGCGUGCCCUCCACCCUUUCCCUAGCACCAGUUCAAGGACAGUGUCCUGGCAGCGCGGCUCCAUGAGGAGCUGGUCCUCAGAGGGAUUGGGAUGGGAGGUGCAGCAGGCUUUGCUGCCCUGUUGGGUCAGCCACCCACAGCCUAUUUGUUUAGGGCAGUGGGAAUCUGUCUCCACCCCUUGCUUUACCUUCUCCCCUUGCUGCCAGCCAGUGGGGCAACAGUUCCUCCUUUUCCAGGACUAUGGCCACAGGCCGGGGCCAAGCUUCAGAUCAGGGCUGCUUCUUAGCUGGGGUCACUCUGGGGAAUCUGCUGCUCUGCAUCCAAGUGUGGAUCUUUCAGAUCCUUGGCUCUGGGUUUUCUGAGGAGGGGAGACAGUGACUUCAGGGUUCCCACACAUCACCUCAUUAUUUCCUAAACAGCAAAGCAGCCAAGUAUCCCAGGGCCACUACUCCAUUGCUCUGGGGGCUGGGAUGCCUGGCUGCAGAAGUAGGGAGGCUACUGAGUGGCUGGUGACUUUCCUGGGGUUAGCACCUGCCCUGUGUUUUGUACCUUCAGCCUAAGACACAUUAAACAUCUCUCAAAUGGA
Sus scrofa (pig) is the source of this 6067-nucleotide non-coding RNA. Lineage: Eukaryota; Metazoa; Chordata; Mammalia; Artiodactyla; Suidae. The record is from RefSeq and is a predicted model, not a curated record.